AUUUAUAAAUUGGCUUUGUUGACGUGACGCAACCGUUCGUUAUCAGCAGAAGUUUUUUUUUGUGCUUUUGUGGAACAAUGAAUUGACGGUUUUUGGAGUCUAAGAAAAUGGUAUUAAAUUCAGUGUCUAAACAUAAAAAAAAGUCACACCAACUGAAAAAGAAAGAUGAAGUCAGUGCGACAAGGAAAGAUGGAAAUCGUGCUGGUUUAAGAAGUAAUUCGAAGAAAACACUUACUGAUGUUGAUAAUCAGCCUAAGGUGAUUUAAAGGAUAAGUUGAAAGGGAAAAGUAAGCAAUUUGAAGAAGAAGGUAAAAUCCCGUUUUAUCGGCUGGC
This is a long non-coding RNA of Mercurialis annua (annual mercury), 333 nucleotides long. RefSeq lists it as uncharacterized. Lineage: Eukaryota; Viridiplantae; Streptophyta; Magnoliopsida; Malpighiales; Euphorbiaceae. The record is from RefSeq and is a predicted model, not a curated record. The transcript has 3 exons.